RNAcentral lists this ribosomal RNA (490 nucleotides) under uncultured bacterium. Its description in RNAcentral is "partial 16S ribosomal RNA". It matches the Rfam family "Bacterial small subunit ribosomal RNA", at positions 28 to 507 of the family's 1533-position model. The record is from RNAcentral.
AUUGAACGCUGGCGGCAGGCCUAACACAUGCAAGUCGAACGGUAACAGGGAUCAGCUUGCUGAUUCGCUGACGAGUGGCGGGCGGGUGAGUCAUGUCUGGGAUACUGCCUGAUGGAGGGGGAUAACUACUGGAAACGGUAACUACUACCGCAUAACGUCGCAAGCCCAAAGGGGGGGGCCUUGGGGCCGCUGGCCGUGAGGUGUUCCCGGGUGGGAUUGGCUAGGAGGGGGGGUAACGGCUCACCUAGGCGACGGGCCCUAGCUGGUCUGAGGGGAUGCCCGGCCACACUGGAACUGAGACACGGUCCAGACUCCUACGGGAGGCAGCAGAGGGGAAUAUUGCGCAACGGGCGGAAGCCUGAUGCAACCAUGCCGCGUGUAUGGAGAAGGCCUUCGGGUUGUAAAGUACUUUCAGCGGGGAGGAAGGGAGUAAAGUUAAUACCUAGGCUGAUUGACGUUACCCGCAGAAGAAGCACCGGCUAACUCCGUG